This 468-nucleotide ribosomal RNA is filed under the name uncultured bacterium. RNAcentral describes it as "partial 16S ribosomal RNA". It matches the Rfam family "Bacterial small subunit ribosomal RNA", at positions 28 to 507 of the family's 1533-position model. The record is from RNAcentral.
GACGAACGCUGGCGGCGUGCUUAACACAUGCAAGUCGAACGGAAAGGCCCUGCUUUUGUGGGGUGCUCGAGUGGCGAACGGGUGAGUAACACGUGAGUAACCUGCCCUUGACUUUGGGAUAACUUCAGGAAACUGGGGCUAAUACCGGAUAGGAGCUCCUGCUGCAUGGUGGGGGUUGGAAAGUUUCGGCGGUUGGGGAUGGACUCGCGGCUUAUCAGCUUGUUGGUGGGGUAGUGGCUUACCAAGGCUUUGACGGGUAGCCGGCCUGAGAGGGUGACCGGCCACAUUGGGACUGAGAUUCGGCCCAGACUCCUACGGGAGGCAGCAGUGGGGAAUAUUACACAAUGGGCGGAAGCCUGAUGCAGCAACGCCGCGUGCGGGAUGACGGCCUUCGGGUUGUAAACCGCUUUCGCCUGUGACGAAGCGUGAGUGACGGUAAUGGGUAAAGAAGCACCGGCUAACUACGUG